AGAGUUUGAUCAUGGCUCAGGAUGAACGCUAGCUACAGGCUUAACACAUGCAAGUCGAGGGGAAACGACAUCGAAAGCUUGCUUUUUGAUGGGCGUCGACCGGCGCACGGGUGAGUAACGCGUAUCCAACCUGCCCACCACUUGGGGAUAACCUUGCGAAAGUAAGACUAACACCCAAUGAUAUCUCUAGAAGACAUCUGAAAGAGAUUAAAGAUUUAUCGGUGAUGGAUGGGGAUGCGUCUGAUUGGCUUGUUGGCGGGGUAACGGCCCACCAAGGCAACGAUCAGUAGGGGUUCUGAGAGGAAGGUCCCCCACAUUGGAACUGAGACACGGUCCAAACUCCUACGGAGGCAGCA
Molecule: ribosomal RNA, 356 nt
Filed under: uncultured bacterium
Lineage: Bacteria
Description: bacterial SSU rRNA
Rfam family: Bacterial small subunit ribosomal RNA
Source: RNAcentral